AAAAGUCUGCCUCAUGUGAUGGCCCCUGUAGGACUGAGGACUGCCCUGUUGAGCAGAGUCAAGGCUUCCCAGUGGACUUCCCUCCCAUGAUAUGCUAUGGACAGGACUUCAAGGAAAGAGCCCGCUGUGUGAGGAUCCUCUUGGAAAGCUGCCCGGGAGAUAUGGUGAUGGGGAGCUGGCCUGGAGCCGGAAUGCCAAAGGCUGGGCACACCCAACCUUCCUCAUCGACUGUACCAGUGGGAAGCCUCUGCCUCUGCCUGGGCCAUUCCCACCCCCUCUCCAAAGGCCCCACUCAGGAUCCAUCCCCCCCACAUGAGAAUCUAUAUCCUAUUCUGCUGGGACCUGCCCAGGCCUACUCAGGAGGUCCCCCAGUGUGGAGCAGUUGUGGCAGAGCUGGGCAAACAGCUGGGCAAGAGCACCGAAGACCUGGCUCCUGGCCCAGUCAGGCAGCCUAGGUCCAAGGAGGGGCCCAAGUCCAAGGCAAUGCCCUCCAAAUCCUUCUUGCCCACAAGGGCUCGGGACAUAGUCAAGGACUCGCUGAAAGCAUGCUGUUCCUGCCUCAGUGGGCCAGAGGAUUAAAGUUGUGUGUGGGGGGGGUGGCAAUUCAGUUCAAUUCAAGACACAUUUUUUGAGUGCCUACUGUGUGCAUGAUCCUGGGCUUGACACUGGGGACACAAAUAUAAAAAGGGAGCUUACAACCUAACACACAAGUACAGUAUCUGUUAACAAGCAUUUAUUUUUUAAAAUAAAUUUUUAUUGUUAUCUUUUAUUUUUACA
This 777-nucleotide long non-coding RNA is filed under the name Phascolarctos cinereus (koala). Its description in RNAcentral is "lncRNA (ENSPCIG00000033893.1)". Lineage: Eukaryota; Metazoa; Chordata; Mammalia; Diprotodontia; Phascolarctidae. The record is from RNAcentral.